Molecule: long non-coding RNA, 1594 nt
Organism: Cyprinus carpio (common carp)
Lineage: Eukaryota; Metazoa; Chordata; Actinopteri; Cypriniformes; Cyprinidae
Source: Ensembl
AUAUUUGGUAUUUUUUGGCAUCAUUGUGCACAUUUGAAUGUUGGAUUCAACAGUGGUUUUGGGCAUAGAUUAGGCAUAUUUGAAUAUUUUAUUUGACACUGCCCUUCAAAAUUAUGGGGUCGGUAAGAUUUUUAAUGUUUUUGAAAAAAGUCUCUCACCAAGGCUGCAAUUAUUUGAUCAAAAAUACAGUAAAAACAGUACAAUGGUGAAAUAUUAUUACAAUUUAAAAUAACAGUUUUCUAUUUAAAUAUAUUGUCAAAUGUAAUUUAUUCCUGUGAUGCAAAGCUGAAUUUUCAGCAUUAUUACUCUAGUCUUAAGUGUCACGUGAUCCUUCAGAAAUCAUUCUAAUAUGCUGAUUUGCUGAUUAUUAUUAUUAAUGUUGAAAACAGUUGGGCUGCUUCAUAUUUUUGUGGAAAUGGUGAUACUUUCCUUUUUGAUGAAAAAGGUUCAAAUGAUCAUCAUUUAUUUGAAAUGGAAAUCUUUUGUAAAAUUAUAAAUGUCUUUACAGUCACUUUUGAUCAAUUUAAUGCAUGCUUGCUGAAUAAAAGUAGCCUUAAAAAAAUCUAUCACUAGUCUAUAUUUAGCUUCACACUUUGAAUAUAAACAUCAGCUACUAAAGUAACAGGAGAACAUUGUGAUCUCAGAUGUAGUAUAUUGCUCUGAGUCAUGUUAUUGUUAAUGAGUUUCUUCCUGUGUACAGUGUGAACCGUCACGUCUGCUGCUCAGCACGGGCUGCGUGUGUUGAACGUGGUUUCCCAACACUGUCUGUGCAUCUAGGGAAGAGAGCAUGGCACAUAUGGGAUUGAAACGGGUCAAAAGUAUCUGAUGCACACAACCACUACAGCACGUCUACAGUGAGUCCCGUUACCCCACAUACCCUCUCACCUCAUACGCAAGCAGCCUCCCCAGAGACACAGCAGUGAAGCUUUUUACUCCAUUUUAAGGAUUUGCUGGAAUUGGGAUGUUACUGAAAGUGAAAGACACAGGUUUCCUCGUUGUCUUUGUGAAACUUGGCAGACAGGAUUCAUCAUUUCGCCAGCAGCCCUGGAGUCAUUCACCGCUCACAUGAAGCAACUUGGACAAAAGUUGCAUCUCCUCUCCAGCCUCAUGAAUAUUCAUGUAUAGUGGAUGUCGAUAGACGACCGCUGGCCUUAAAUAGACAGAGCAUCUGAACACCCACUGAAACUCUGAGGAUAAACCUUAACAAGGACUUAUUAGGUUCGUCAACGUUUUACAAGUGAGUACAUUUUGUCUUAUUUAUAUAUAUAUAAUUUUUCUGCUUUGACGCUGUAAAAUUUGACAUGCACUUUAAGAAUGAUUGCAAUUUAAACAGUAAAAUACAAUUAAAAUGCUAUUGUUAAUUAUUAUUUAUUGUGUUAUUUAUUUAUUCAUUAUUUUUCUUACUCUAUAUGGUGAAAAACUGCAAUAGAUAUAAUGGACUAUUUAAUUUUACAGAAAAGUACUGUUAAAUGUAUUUAUACAAAUUCUUUAAGUGAAAAAGAACAAUUCAGAGCUCACAUUUGAUAGUUUUUCAGUGAAAAAUAUAUGUUGUUCAGUUAAUAAAACUGUUACAUCUUAUAUAUUUUAUUAUAUU